Nannospalax galili (Upper Galilee mountains blind mole rat) is the source of this 133-nucleotide small nucleolar RNA. Lineage: Eukaryota; Metazoa; Chordata; Mammalia; Rodentia; Spalacidae. The record is from Ensembl.
UUGCACAGUGAACACCCAAGUGUGCUUUAUAGUUCUCUUGGCGUUGACUCUGUGCUAGAGUAAAGUCUGUUCUUUUCCUCUGCAUUGAAAGGAAUACUGUCCUUUUUAAUGUAUUCAGAAAAUGAGCACAUCA